GUUAUCCGGAUUUACUGGGCGUAAAGGGUGCGUAGGCGGUCUUUCAAGUCAGGAGUGAAAGGCUACGGCUCAACCGUAGUAAGCGCUUGAAACUGGGAGACUUGAGUGCAGGAGAGGAGAGUGGAAUGCCUAGUGUAGCGGUGAAAUGCGUAGAUAUUAGGAGGAACACCAGUUGCGAAGGCGGCUCUCUGGACUGUAACUGACGCUGAGGC
RNAcentral lists this ribosomal RNA (212 nucleotides) under Clostridioides difficile. RNAcentral's name for it is "partial 16S ribosomal RNA". It matches the Rfam family "Bacterial small subunit ribosomal RNA", at positions 540 to 752 of the family's 1533-position model. The record is from RNAcentral. Lineage: Bacteria; Bacillati; Bacillota; Clostridia; Peptostreptococcales; Peptostreptococcaceae.